This 468-nucleotide ribosomal RNA is filed under the name uncultured bacterium. Its description in RNAcentral is "partial 16S ribosomal RNA". It matches the Rfam family "Bacterial small subunit ribosomal RNA", at positions 28 to 507 of the family's 1533-position model. The record is from RNAcentral.
GACGAACGCUGGCGGCGUGCUUAACACAUGCAAGUCGAACGGAAAGGCCCUACUUUUGUGGGGUGCUCGAGUGGCGAACGGGUGAGUAACACGUGAGUAACCUGCCCUUGACUUUGGGAUAACUUCAGGAAACUGGGGCUAAUAUCGGAUAGGAGCUCCUGAUGCACGGUGGGGGUUGGAAAGUUUCGGCUGUUGGGGAUGGACUCGCGGCUUAUCAGCUUGUUGGUGGGGUAGUGGCUUACCAAGGCUUUGACGGGUAGCCGGCCUGAGAGGGUGACCGGCCACAAUGGUACUGCGGUACGGCCCAGACGCCUACGGGAGGCAGCAGUGGGGAAUAUGGCACAAUGGGCGGAAGCCUGAUGCAGCAACGCCGCGUGCGGGAUGACGUCCUUCGGGUUGUAAACCGCUUUCGCCUGUGACGAAGCGUGAGUGACGGUAAUGGGUAAAGAAGCACCGGCUAACUACGUG